AAUAAGCGUCGUCAUGAGUUUCUGUGUCCAAAUUUGAUCGUUCGUCUUAUUUUAAUUUUUUUUAUGAUUAGUAUUUUAUCGUUAUUAGAUUAUAAAACAUGAAUUGUACUUUAUGCGUGACUUAUAUUUUUUUUAGCUUUCCUUUUAAAAAAUAAAAAAGACAGACGAUUAAAGUUGGACACGAAAACUCAUGUGUACGUUUAUU
Oryza glumipatula is the source of this 205-nucleotide non-coding RNA. NCBI's taxonomy places the organism in Eukaryota, Viridiplantae, Streptophyta, Magnoliopsida, Poales, Poaceae. The record is from Rfam.